GAUGAACGCUAGCGGCAGGCUUAAUACAUGCAAGUCGAACGGUAGAAGUCUCUUCGGAGGCUUUGAGAGUGGCGCACGGGUGCGUAACGCGUAUGCAACCUGCCUUCAGUUGGGGGAUAGCCCGGGGAAACCCGGAUUAAUACCGCAUAAUACAGGGGCCCCGCAUGGGGAUAUUUGUUAAAGAUUUAUCGACUGAAGAUGGGCAUGCGUCUGAUUAGCUAGUUGGUGAGGUAAUGGCUCACCAAGGCGACGAUCAGUAGGGGAUCUGAGAGGAUGGCCCCCCACACUGGUACUGAGAUACGGACCAGACUCCUACGGGAGGCAGCAGUAAGGAAUAUUGGACAAUGGGCGGAAGCCUGAUCCAGCCAUGCCGCGUGCAGGAAGACGGCCCUAUGGGUUGUAAACUGCUUUUGUAAGGGAAUAAUAAGGCGAACGAGUUUCGCUGAUGAAGGUACCUUACGAAUAAGCAUCGGCUAACUCCGUGCCAGCAGCCGCGGUAAUACGGAGGAUGCAAGCGUUAUCCGGAUUUAUUGGGUUUAAAGGGUGCGUAGGCGGCCUUUUAAGUCAGGGGUGAAAUGUUGCGGCUUAACCGCAGAAUUGCCUUUGAUACUGGGAGGCUUGAAUGAAGUUGAGGUAGGCGGAAUGUGGCAAGUAGCGGUGAAAUGCAUAGAGAUGCCACAGAACACCGAUUGCGAAGGCAGCUUACUAAGCUUUGAUUGACGCUGAGGCACGAAAGCGUGGGGAUCAAACAGGAUUAGAUACCCUGGUAGUCCACGCAGUAAACGAUGAGAACUAGCUGUUGGCGAUAGAAUGUCAGCGGCACAGCGAAAGCGUUAAGUUCUCCACCUGGGGAGUACGACCGCAAGGUUGAAACUCAAAGGAAUUGACGGGGGCCCGCACAAGCGGAGGAGCAUGUGGUUUAAUUCGAUGAUACGCGAGGAACCUUACCUGGGCUUGAAAGUGAGUGACCGGCGCUGAAAGGCGCCUUCCCUUCGGGGCACAAAACUAGGUGCUGCAUGGCUGUCGUCAGCUCGUGCCGUGAGGUGUUGGGUUAAGUCCCGCAACGAGCGCAACCCCUAUCAUCAGUUGCCAUCAGGUAAAGCUGGGGACUCUGGUGAGACUGCCUGCGCAAGCAGUGAGGAAGGCGGGGACGACGUCAAGUCAUCAUGGCCCUUACGUCCAGGGCUACACACGUGCUACAAUGGCAGCUACAGAGGGCCGCGACCGUGCAAACGGGAGCUAAUCUCAAAAAGGUUGUCACAGUUCGGAUUGAGGUCUGCAACUCGACCUCAUGAAGUUGGAUUCGCUAGUAAUCGCGUAUCAGCAAUGACGCGGUGAAUACGUUCCCGGGCCUUGUACUCACCGCC
RNAcentral lists this ribosomal RNA (1367 nucleotides) under uncultured bacterium. RNAcentral's name for it is "bacterial SSU rRNA". It matches the Rfam family "Bacterial small subunit ribosomal RNA", at positions 28 to 1394 of the family's 1533-position model. The record is from RNAcentral.